CCCCUCACAGCUGUUGUCACAUGUGAAUCCCGGUGAUCCAACAACUUUGCCAAUCCGAAAUCUCCAACUAUGGCCUCACAGUAAUCAUCAAGCAGUAUAUUUGCAGCUUUAACAUCCCUAUGAAUUAUCUUCGGGUCACAUUGCUCGUGCAAGUACAAUAAGCCCCUAGCUGUUCCUAAAGCUAUUCUUUUCCUCGUUCCCCAAUCCAAGGCUGGUUUGGCUGCAAACAUCAGAAACCACCAAUAUUAUUCUAAGAGAACGAAACCAAAACCAAGAACAAACAGGCAGAUGCAGCCUAGACUGGACCCGAAGGCUAAAGCAAUUUUAUGGCCCUUGAGUCUACCCGAGGGCUGCGAGUCUAACAAGCACAGAAAAUGAUAUCAGAUUAUAUAUAUUUGGAGGAUCAUACCAUAUCCGUGUACGAAUAUAUGUUAAAUACAAGUAGUGGACAUGGAUAGUUUAGGAAAAAUAAAGAGAUAUUCAAGAUGGGAGAACUGUUCUUACUUUGUGAAUUAUUUAAGGAAAAAGGCAUUGGCAUUGGCCUUGUUCUUGAA
Gossypium arboreum is the source of this 554-nucleotide long non-coding RNA. RefSeq lists it as uncharacterized. The record is from RefSeq and is a predicted model, not a curated record. Lineage: Eukaryota; Viridiplantae; Streptophyta; Magnoliopsida; Malvales; Malvaceae. The transcript is spliced from 2 exons.